UCAAUAACCACAGACACAACUUCCCAUAUCCCUUUAAUGGAAGUGCAUCAUUACAUCAGAGGAAAAUUCCUCUUCAUUUAAAUACCACACAAUAUCUGUCUUCCUCCAACCUUCAAGUGUUUAUCCGAAAAAGGUUUAUUGCAAGCACUAACAGAGGCUGUAAAGUUAAGAAUCAUGGAAAAAGAAAAGGUUCGUAUUAUCAUGGGAAGCACCUGAGAUGAACAAGCGCUCAUUCAAGUAUGCAUGGGUUCUUUACAAGCUUAAGGCAGAGCGGGAAAGAGGUAUCAACGUUGAUAUUGCUUUGAGGGAUAAUUCUUUGAGGUUAAUUCUUGGUGUUGUUCUUUCUAUUAUUGCUA
Molecule: long non-coding RNA, 356 nt
Organism: Vicia villosa (hairy vetch)
Lineage: Eukaryota; Viridiplantae; Streptophyta; Magnoliopsida; Fabales; Fabaceae
Exons: 3
Source: RefSeq, a predicted model, not a curated record